Long non-coding RNA from Hemicordylus capensis (graceful crag lizard), 5173 nucleotides. RefSeq lists it as uncharacterized. The transcript is spliced from 7 exons. The record is from RefSeq and is a predicted model, not a curated record. Lineage: Eukaryota; Metazoa; Chordata; Lepidosauria; Squamata; Cordylidae.
GCAUCCAUGGGAGCAACAGCAAGGAGAACGGUCAGCACUGCGCUUCAAGGGUUUCCCGAAAUACCGUUGCUUCCCUCGAGCUCACCAGCAGAGCACUCGUCAUCCAAGAACAGGGUAACUGGGAGACUUCACGUCUUUUUAGUAAAGGAAACCAACCCUACGCCUCAGCCCUGACCGUCUGGCAAACUCCGGGGAAAUUUCACGGUUUGAACUAACGACGAAGCAGAACGAAAUAACCGAGUAUCUCAAGCCUAUUUUUGCCUAAUAGAUGCAAGAGCGUUUUCUGAACUUCUUUAUGUUGGGACCGUCAUUUAUAUUUUGCAAAGGAGGCGUUUCAGCGAUUCUGUAUCAGUCUAUCCAGGAGCCAGCCAGGCUUGAAACGGGGAGAAGAAAAUGAGUUUGUAGGAAGAGAUUAAAGAAUUUUCUAUGCCACCAAGGGAGAAAGCUGCACCAUUAUCUGCAUUCCUUGCAUAAUCCCUGCUAACUGAGCAAAGAGACAUCUUUUAAAGUGAUGACACCCAGGACCUCCUGGUCUCAGAUCACUGGCAGGUGAUCUUCCAAGCCAUGAAAUGAAGAUUCUUCACGUCUGGAUGCAGUACUGAUCCUUGCUCUCUGGCAAGAUAAGUUGGGAUGGUUGGGUAGAGGCAGAUGCCUAACCUUUGGUCAUGGCUAGCAGAGUGGAGAACCAGGCUUGUUAAGGCCACCAGGGAGUGAUGAAGAUGCAAUCUGCUUCCUCUCUGAUCUUGUGUAGAACUGUUAGUAUGAGUGGUAGUGGAGAAAACAUGUAUAGCAGUUCCUUGCUCCAAGACAGAAGCACAUCUCCCAAGGAGUUGCAUCCUUGGACUGCUCCGCUGCAGAACUGUGUGCAUUGUUUGUUUUCCUCAGUGGCAAAAAUGUCUACAUGUGGAUGAUCCCAUCUGUUGAAGACGCCCUGCACCACUGCGUGGUCCAAUGUCCGUUUGUGGGAUAUUUGUUGUGUCUGACUAAAGGAGUCUGCCCAUAUAUUUCCCUUCCUUGCAAUGUGUACUGCAGAAGGCCAGAUCUGAUGAUGGAGGUACCACAUCCAGAUACUGAUGGCUAGGUGUGACAAUGCUGGAAAGUGUGUGCCCCCCUCAUGGUUCAGAUAUGACAUGGUGGUCACACUGUCUGUCAUAGCCUGCACCGAAUGGCCUGUUAGCAGUGGCCAUUUCAUCUGAAGGUGUGCUAGAGAUAGGAUGCUGGUAGUGGAUGCCAUGAACCUCAGCAUCUUUUGUAUGGACUGCACUGGAUGAGUGUGUGAUGUUAAGAUCUUGUGGGCCAUGACCCUGAUAUCUGCUAUCCUGAAGGAAGGCAAGGAUGCAAGAAUCUCCUGGGAAUCUAGAAUGGUGCCCCAAAACUCUAUGGUCCUUUAGGGAGCAAAUGUUGACUUCUCCCAGUUCACGCAUAAUCCUAGCUUGCCUAGAAGGGUCAACAUGGGAUGGAUAUGUUGAUGCAACUUCUCUUUGGUUCUGGCCACUAAGGGCCAGUUGUCUAAAAAAGGUAUAGACAGAGAUGACCUGUUGGCAGUAGUGUGCAACCAUCACUGCCAUCCACUGGGAAGGACUCUAGCUUCAGUGGACAAACCAAAGGGACAGACCAAUACCUUGUAUUGGUAAGUUCUCUUCCCACUGCAGAAGCGUAGGUACUGUCUAUAGUGUGGCCAAAUAGAAAUAUGAAAAUAGGUGUCUUUAAAGUCUAUUACCACAAACCAGUCACUGUGAAAACAGAAGCUGUAAGAUCUGGGUGAGACUUGUCAUAUGGGACCGAUGAAAGCAAAUAAAACUGUUGAAGCCAUGAAAAUCUAGAAUGGGCCUCAGGCCUUCAUCUCAUCUUGGGAGCACAAAGUACCUUGAGUAAAAACCCCUGGCUGUGUUGGUGCACACUGGUUGAAAGGCGCCUUUCUUGAUAAGGGAUCAAACUUCCCUGUUGUAGGACAGGGUAGAUUGUGUACAACGUGUUCCCCCAAAGGGUGGAAGUGUAUGGAACUCUACUGUAAAUCCCAAUCAAAUUAUAGUAAUCACCCACUGGUCCGUAGUAAUUGCUCACCAUGCUUCUGCGAAAGGGAGGAAUCUUGAGCCAGUCAUUGUGUAAGGCCCUUUUAUCAUAGGCUGGCUUGGACUUAGGAGUGGUUUUCUGUGAUGGUGUAGUUGACUUGCAAAAGGAACUGUAAGGUUAAUACCUGUUCCUUCUGAGAUCAUGAUGGCGGAAUGGUUGGUAGGAUGAUCUUUGUUGAGAGUGUUGGGUCAAGGGUAUUGCUUAACUGGACUUUGCUGAUAUGGCCACGUGUGUUUUCAUAGUGCCACUGUUGCCGCCAUUGCCCUAGAACCACAGUCUGCCUUGUGGCAUGCAGAGUGCCGUUGUUGCUUGUUGGUCUGUAAGCCUACAGAUAAAAAGGUCAUCGCUGCAUCCUUUUGGUCCUGUUGAAACUGUCAGAUGAAAGGUUCAAGUUUUUAAAAGAGAAAAUGGGUAUACUUAGCCAUACACCCCUAAUAGUUUGAUAUGUGUACUUGAAGGCUUGCUCUGGCAUAUAUCCAUUUACCAAACAAAUCUAGUUUUUUCCAAUCGUGAUCUGAUGGUGCAGAUCAUAACUUCUGUUUCGCCCCUUGCUGAGAAGAUUCAACCCAAAUACUGAGUUAGGUUUGGGAUGCAAAAACAGGUAGGGCACAUCACUUUGGCGUACUCUAUAGAGGUUUUUCUAAUUUCUUUGAAGUUGAGAAGAUUCAAAAGUGGUAAGGGUAGUGGUCCUGCAGAUGCAGCCUGAAUAAGGUCAAACACAGGACCUGCAGUCUUAUAUUUGCUGUGUCUCUAAGCCCAAGGCUGACACCAUAUGCUGGACCUGUUCAGAGUGUGUUCUAUAAUCCUCAGGAGGGGACUGGUUCUUAUCUGCAUCCAGAUAAUCAGCUGAGGAUUGGUCUGGGUCCUUGUUUACACAGGACACAACAUCAUCCUCAGAGUCUGAGGCAGAUAAAAAACCCCAUGGGGCAUCAGCCUUUGUAUCUGGCACAGCCUUGACUGGUUGUGGUAGCACUCCAUGCUAUGUGACUGGCUGUUUUUUUAGUAAACCCUUUCUGUUUUGUCUCAGGUUUGGGUGUCUUAUUUUCCUAUUAAAGGAAGGAGAGUGGGAAAUAAAGUGUUAUAUUAACACAAGUAGUGACCAUUCACAUGCAAACCAGGGUGAGCCUGCCCAGCAAAAGGGACAACCCAUACUUGUUGCCACAAGACCACCUCUCCUCCCAGCUGUAUUUGGACCUAUGGCACCUUGGGCUAUGACUGUAGUGGUAAGCCCUGUCCCUCUUUUCAGGUCCCAAAUAACUGUGCCCAAGGUGAUAUAGCGCAGACCUGGGUUCUUCCCACAAUGCAUAUAUUCAUAAUGUGGUCUGUGGCUGUCAUAAGUGUAAUAUUUUGAGAAGGCUCUCUAGUGAGGUCCAUGCAAGUAAAAAGUCCUCUUGCUCUCCCUCUCCAGCUCUCCAAACCUGGGAUGCUUGCUCUUACUGUGUUGCUUCUUCACCCCAGCUUGAAGCCUACUCUGGGAAGAGCAGGAGCAGCUUCACGAGCUAUAAAAUCAUCAGCUGCAUCACAGAAGGAAAAUAGAAUGUUACAGUUCUUCCUCCUUCAGCUUACAGUCCAGCUCUUCUAGGAAAGAAUUUCAAACAGCUGCCAUGCAACAAAGCAACCAAAGGAUUCCAAGUUCACCACUGCAACCUGCUGAUUAAUUGUGUAACAAAAUUUAAACACAAUUCAACUUAUUAAGGCCAAAUAUAAUAAACUGUGUGUAACACACAGGCACAUUCCAUAAUCAUAAUUGUAUAAGCAUAUUGGUUAGCAUGUCGCAUGCAGGUCAGCAUGCUCAAGUCAUAGGAUUUAGCAAUAGCAAUAGCAAUAGCACUUACAUUUAUACACCGCUCUAUAGCUGGAGCUCUCUAAGCGGUUUACAAUGAUUUAGCAUAUUGCCCCCAACAUUCUGGGUACUCAUUUUACCGACCUCGGAAGGAUGGAAGGCUGAGUCAACCUUGAGCCCCUGGUCAGGAUCGAACUUGUAACCUUCUGGUUACAGGGUGGCAGUUUUACCACUGCGCCACCAGGGGCUCUUGCAACUUGACCAAAAGGGUGAUUUUUGUUUGUUAUAUCAUAGAGGAAAUGACAGGAUAUAAUUUACCAUUAGACCCACUAAUUGUUUUCCUUAGAGAUAUUAGAAUUAUUGUUUUAAUGGCAGAUUGGGAAUUAGUCGUUCAUUUAUUGAUAGCACUAAGGCCGUCAAUUAGCAGAAAUUGGGAAAAAAUUAAGACCCACUGACUUGAAACAAAUGAUUAAACAAAAUAUGCCAAUUAUAAUGAAACUGAUGAAUUAAAUUAGAACAAUGGAAGGAAGACAACCAGAUGAUCCUGUGUUCAAGUGGUCUCUUUUUAGAAAUUACUGAAACAAUAAUAGACAGGAUAAUGUGAAUCCAUUUGCUUUGUUGGAGAACAAUUUAAAAAGAGGUGGGAACUGAGUUUAGGCAAAAGAGUCAUUAUGUAUAUUGUAUAAUUGUCUAUUAAUGGCUUAAUAUUUUAUGGCAUAAUUUAAAUAAACUGUUUUGUUGUAAUGUUAAGAAGCUGCUUUUAAUGAAUAUUUUGUUGAUAGUAAGAACAUAAGAACAGCCCUACUUGAUCAGGCCCAAGGCCUAUCUAGUCCCACAUCCUGUUUCAUACAGUGUGGCCCACCAGAUGCCUCUGGGCAGCCAACAGGCAGGACUUGCCACACUGUAAUCAUUAACAUCUUCCCCUUUUUAACACUCUAUGGCAGGGCUAUUUGUUCCCUUGAGGUCAUCUCCCAAGUAAGCCCGGGGGCCUUACAAGCCCUCUCCUACAGCCCAAGCUCUCUCCACAGGUCAUUGUUCUUGGCCUUAGGCAUUCCUUGUCUGCAAAGCCUACUGCUGCAUCAGAUGCCUGGACCAGUACCCUUCCCCAGACUAAUCCGGGAGUGGAGGGAGCAGCUGGAGAUUUGCCAAGUGGCUGAUUGCCAAGUAGAAUAGAAGAGUGGUUCGGACUUCCAGGGAAUGCAGAGCCUUUUCAAGAGGUGCGCUCGAAGAGCUGAAGAAGGUCCGUAUGCCGAACCGUCAUCUUGCAGGAGGCUAUAAGGCUCAGGAGGCAUUGAAUCUGCCUUGCAGUUAUCUCGG